UGUGUGUGAAUGCAGUGUUAACACGCUGCUGAUGUACGAACACACGCGAAUGGGAUGUACAGUGUGUAUGUGAAUACAAAACAGCGGAUGGUGUGUGUCGACUGCAAACCAAGAGUCGUGGCUUCAAAUACGGCAACGGAGUUACUUUGGUUAUGACCAAGUCUAAAGAGACAGUGUCAGGCUUUCCCGUGUCAAGAUCCUCCACCAAUACUUACGUAUCAAGAAGAUACAGUGCUUACUUAUGACUAGAAGUGACCAGUAGAGGGCGCCUGAUUGAUUUAUUGAGACCAGAGAGGUUCGUCUGUGUGACUCGACUGGACUAAAGAAACUGACCCGAGUGCUUCUGGUGCACCAUGUCUUCACCAUGCUCUGAAGAAGAUUGCGAGAAGAAGGCCAGCGGGGUGGUGAAAGGAGUCCACGCUAAACUCCGCAAGAAGCUGAAAGAAGGUACAAGCAUGAUGUAUACAAUCUGAUGUUAAAUGCUCGGAUUCUCUCAAAAUCUCUCUAACAAUUGGGUUACAUCUUGAUCCAGACAAGCUGUGGGUUUUCUUUCUUGUGCAUCUUUCGUUAGUGAGGUUCGCUAUAGCACCAUGUGUGAAUCUCUUUUCAGUGGUGUUGGUACUGAAAAGAACUGGUGGUUGACAACUCAAAGUGGCGAUCAGUAUGCUCUGAUCGUCUUCAGGGGAAGGAUAUUUGUUGAGUUUUGUCGCAGCGGUGAUCUGCUUGUUUUCCUUGUUUGUUUGCUUGUGUCCGACAAUGGCAUUGACUUGGCAAUUUGAUAUAUUUGCAUAUAAAAAAAAUAUUUGAAACGAUUUGUGUUUGGCCGUUUUCACCGAUUCCCAGUAUAUUUUUGACACACGUCUGUGAAGGCUGAUUUAUGUUGCACACUUGCAAGGUGAAUCCACUUUGCUAGAGAGAGGAAGGAGUUGCCUCGAAUCUCUAUGGCAACAGAGGCCAACACCAGGGCAACAUGGAUCAUGUUAUUACUGUGUCAGGGGCCAUCAUGUGAUUCCAUGCAUGGUAUUGAGAUCUUUCUUUUCGAACCAUGGCCCGAUUUCAUGAAGCCUGUAAGCACAAAAACUUGCUAAGCACAGAAAAAUGUUGUUCAGAAGAAUCAGGUUACCUGCCAACAUUUUGUAAAACUAACAUUAUUGCGACUGGUGCCCUACUAAUUUUGGGCUAGGCAGUGUUAUGGGUCGCAUGUUGUUUUACAGACUAAAUAAACACCAUUUGUAUAGCGCAUAUCACUGCUAUUAAGUCCCCACGUAUGCGCUUUAUAGAAACAAAGAAAGCAACAAGAUACCAGCGACUUUUUUUUGAUAAAAAAUCGUUCAACAAACUCAGGUAUGCCACAGCUCAGCGGCAGCUACUUGGAACGAUUGUGAGCUCCAUGCGAUUUACUGGUUAGAACCCAUUAGGUAGUGAUCAACACAGUGCCAGUGUAGUAUUUGUACAUGUAUCAUAUGGUAAUGGCGCUACAGUCAAACACAUGGUGAGACCAAAACCAACUUACCCCUUGCACAAUGCCCAGUGCACUUACACAUGGCUAACCUGUCAUUUCAUUUCGUUUCUGGUUGUGAAGCCAAGGAAUCACAGAAAAGUUAACUUAAUCACUAUCCAAGAACCCGAUGUAGAAAAGACAAGGAAGGAAGUUUCAGUUUUAGAUGCGAGAGAAAACCCCCCCGAGAAUCAUUCCGGGACAAACCAUUGCAGUCAGAUAGGGACUGAAAUCCCAAUCCACAUAGUGCCCUCGUAAGGCUUCGAACUGAGGUCUUAAUGGUGGAAGGCAAGGAAAGAUACCACUGAUCCAACCCGACCGCCCUAACCGUCAUUCCAAAUGGUAGAUGCGCAUUGUUUGUAGGUGUGUACCAAAUUGUGCAAGGGGUCAGUACACCCAUGCAUUGUGUGGUGUGUGCGUAGUUAGUCUUGGUGCAAGACGUUUCUUGUUUUGCUUUCACACCCAGCGUGGCCAACUCACCAACAUAGGUAUUUUUCUUAUACCCAGUACCAGUGCUGUGUGCCAUCGGUUGAAUAUGCUCAAGUACAUGAAGUAAGCACACUGGCUCUACAUUAUCAUUGUUGUGUAACAUCUUUUAAGAUACUCGUGAUGUGUAAAGAAAUAAACAAAAUGAUGUUUGGGGACAAUUGCAUGUCAAAUUUGUGGUGUACGUACUUGCCGACCAGUCUAGUUCACAGAACCCAUGCUCUGGUGUUGUCAGCAGCAGAGUAUAGGUUUGAAUCUCAGCCCUGAUUGCUAAGUUAAAAGUUGUGAGUGUAGUGCAUUCUGCUCUACCAUCCAGGUUCCUAAGGGAUAAUACUUGUGCUUACAGACUGUGAUCCAUGUUUCAGCCUCUUGAGUGAGUGGCAGCGCACUUGAUUUGGGUUGACAUCCCAAAUCAGUUACGUUUAGCCAUCUUGA
This is a long non-coding RNA of Asterias rubens (European starfish), 2419 nucleotides long. RefSeq lists it as uncharacterized. Lineage: Eukaryota; Metazoa; Echinodermata; Asteroidea; Forcipulatida; Asteriidae. The record is from RefSeq and is a predicted model, not a curated record. The transcript is spliced from 4 exons.